This 466-nucleotide ribosomal RNA is filed under the name uncultured bacterium. Its description in RNAcentral is "partial 16S ribosomal RNA". It matches the Rfam family "Bacterial small subunit ribosomal RNA", at positions 28 to 507 of the family's 1533-position model. The record is from RNAcentral.
GAUGAACGCUGGCGGCGUGCUUAACACAUGCAAGUCGAACGAUGAAGCCCAGCUUGCCGGGUGGAUUAGUGGCGAACGGGUGAGUAACACGUGAGUAACCUGCCCUUAACUCUGGGAUAAGCCUGGGAAACUGGGUCUAAUACCGGAUAGGAGCGUCCACCGCAUGGUGGGUGUUGGAAAGAUUUAUCGGUUUUGGAUGGACUCGCGGCCUAUCAGCUUGUUGGUGAGGUAAUGGCUCACCAAGGCGACGACGGGUAGCCGGCCUGAGAGGGUGACCGGCCACACUGGGACUGAGACACGGCCCAGACUCCUACGGGAGGCAGCAGUGGGGAAUAUUGCACAAUGGGCGCAAGCCUGGUGCAGCGACGCCGCGUGAGGGAUGACGGCCUUCGGGUUGUAAACCUCUUUCAGUAGGGAAGAAGCGAAAGUGACGGUACCUGCAGAAGAAGCACCGGCUAACUACGUG